RNAcentral lists this ribosomal RNA (519 nucleotides) under uncultured Stenotrophomonas sp. RNAcentral's name for it is "bacterial SSU rRNA". It matches the Rfam family "Bacterial small subunit ribosomal RNA", at positions 397 to 907 of the family's 1533-position model. The record is from RNAcentral. Lineage: Bacteria; Pseudomonadati; Pseudomonadota; Gammaproteobacteria; Lysobacterales; Lysobacteraceae.
CCGCGUGGGUGAAGAAGGCCUUCGGGUUGUAAAGCCCUUUUGUUGGGAAAGAAAAGCAGCUGGCUAAUACCCGGUUGUUCUGACGGUACCCAAAGAAUAAGCACCGGCUAACUUCGUGCCAGCAGCCGCGGUAAUACGAAGGGUGCAAGCGUUACUCGGAAUUACUGGGCGUAAAGCGUGCGUAGGUGGUUGUUUAAGUCUGUUGUGAAAGCCCUGGGCUCAACCUGGGAAUUGCAGUGGAUACUGGGCGACUAGAGUGUGGUAGAGGGUAGUGGAAUUCCCGGUGUAGCAGUGAAAUGCGUAGAGAUCGGGAGGAACAUCCAUGGCGAAGGCAGCUACCUGGACCAACACUGACACUGAGGCACGAAAGCGUGGGGAGCAAACAGGAUUAGAUACCCUGGUAGUCCACGCCCUAAACGAUGCGAACUGGAUGUUGGGUGCAAUUUGGCACGCAGUAUCGAAGCUAACGCGUUAAGUUCGCCGCCUGGGGAGUACGGUCGCAAGACUGAAACUCAAAGG